AGAGUUUGAUCCUGGCUCAGGACGAACGCUGGCGGCGUGCUUAACACAUGCAAGUCGAGCGGGGAUUAAGAUUGGAAGGCUUCGGCCGGAAGAUUUUGAUUCUAGCGGCGGACGGGUGAGUAACGCGUGAGCAAUCUGUCCCACACAGGGGGAUAACACUUGGAAACAGGUGCUAAUACCGCAUAAGACCACGAGGUCGCAUGGCCAUGGGGUAAAAGAAUUAUCGGUGUGGGGUGAGCUCGCGUCCCAUUAGCUAGUUGGUGAGGUAACGGCCCACCAAGGCGACGAUGGGUAGCCGACCUGAGAGGGUGAUCGGCCACAUUGGAACUGAGACACGGUCCAGACUCCUACGGGAGGCAGCAGUGGGGAAUAUUGGGCAAUGGGCGCAAGCCUGACCCAGCAACGCCGCGUGAAGGAAGAAGGUUUUCGGAUUGUAAACUUCUGUCCUAAGUGACGAACACAAUGACGGUAGCUUAGGAGGAAGCCCCGGCUAACUACGUGCCAGCAGCCGCGGUAAUACGUAGGGGGCAAGCGUUGUCCGGAAUGACUGGGCGUAAAGGGCGUGUAGGCGGCUCUUUAAGUCUGAAGUGAAAGUCCUGCUUUCAAGGUGGGAAUUGCUUUGGAGACUGGAGAGCUUGAGUGCGGAAGAGGUAAGUGGAAUUCCCAGUGUAGCGGUGAAAUGCGUAGAGAUUGGGAGGAACACCAGUGGCGAAGGCGACUUACUGGGCCGUAACUGACGCUGAGGCGCGAAAGCGUGGGGAGCGAACAGGAUUAGAUACCCUGGUAGUCCACACCGUAAACGAUGGAUACUAGGUGUAGGGAGGGUUAAACCUUUCUGUGCCGCCGUAAACACAAUAAGUAUCCCACCUGAGUAGUACGACCGCAAGGUUAAAACUCAAAGGAAUUGACGGGGGCCCGCACAAGCAGUGGAGUAUGUGGUUUAAUUCGAAGCAACGCGAAGAACCUUACCAGGGCUUGACAUAUACAGGAAUACUUAAGAGAUUAAGUAGCUCUUCGGAGCUUGUAUACAGGUGGUGCAUGGUUGUCGUCAGCUCGUGUCGUGAGAUGUUGGGUUAAGUCCCGCAACGAGCGCAACCCCUGUUGUUAGUUGCCAUCAAGUAAAGUUGGGCACUCUAACGAGACUGCCGGUGAUAAAUCGGAGGAAGGUGGGGACGACGUCAAAUCAUCAUGCUCUUUAUGUCCUGGGCUACACACGUACUACAAUGGCGAGAACAGAGGGAAGCAAAACCGCGAGGUAGAGCCAAACCCUAAAACUCGUCUCAGUUCAGAUUGCAGUCUGAAAUUCGACUGUAUGAAGAUGGAAUUGCUAGUAAUUGCAGGUCAGCAUACUGCAGUGAAUACGUUCUCGGGCCUUGCACACACCGCCCGUCA
This 1392-nucleotide ribosomal RNA is filed under the name uncultured bacterium. RNAcentral describes it as "16S ribosomal RNA". It matches the Rfam family "Bacterial small subunit ribosomal RNA". The record is from RNAcentral.